RNAcentral lists this ribosomal RNA (479 nucleotides) under uncultured bacterium. Its description in RNAcentral is "partial 16S ribosomal RNA". It matches the Rfam family "Bacterial small subunit ribosomal RNA", at positions 28 to 507 of the family's 1533-position model. The record is from RNAcentral.
GACGAACGUUGGCGGCGUGCUUAACACAUGCAAGUCGAACGAAGCUUGAUUACGGAUUCUUCGGAUGAAGUAUGAUAUGACUGAGUGGCGGACGGGUGAGUAACGCGUGAGUAACCUGCCCUUCAGAGGGGGAUAGCGUUUGGAAACGAACGGUAAUACCGCAUAAUGUAUUUUGACCGCAUGAUCGAAAUACCAAAGAUUUAUCGCUGAAGGAUGGACUCGCGUCUGAUUAGGUAGUUGGUGGGGUAACGGCCUACCAAGCCGACGAUCAGUAGCCGGACUGAGAGGUUGAUCGGCCACAUUGGGACUGAGACACGGCCCAGACUCCUACGGGAGGCAGCAGUGGGGAAUAUUGCACAAUGGGCGCAAGCCUGAUGCAGCAACGCCGCGUGAAGGAAGACGGUUUUCGGAUUGUAAACUUCUGUUCUUAGUGAAGAAUAAUGACGGUAGCUAAGGAGCAAGCCACGGCUAACUACGUG